UGCUAGUUCAGAGCCCAUCACUAUGUCUUUAAAGUUAGUAAUCGUUUUUUUAACUCAUUUGCGUUACUUUUCAUUGUUGCUUUCACACCAGAAGCAGGAUGUGGUAUUGACCCUUUUAUUGUCAAUUGUUAUUUGAGAACAGCUCGAUGUCUUUGGCACACACAUCAAACCAGACUUUGAGCAGAGCUAAAUGUGGCUUUGCUUUGAGAACUUCAAUGGAGCCAUGGCCCUUUGCAUUUACAGAGGAGCUGUCUGCAAUGAAAAGUCCCUUUGGCUUCUUGGCUAAACCAAAAGGUUGCAUAACAUGUGCCGUAAGUGGCAACUGAAUUGAAAAACUGGUUAUCUGUAUGGUGGGCAAAAGAGAAAGAUAUUUUGGCAUAUCUCAGUUUCCCUCAGGAUUUGCACCAGGAUAACCUCCUGGAAAGUGCCAGGAGCCUCUCUUGAACGUUCAGUGCCUUCAGACUCCUGUUGGUAUGGAUGGAAACUAAAAACUUUUGAUAGUGGAGAGAUUUAACUCUGAGGGGCUGCAGAAAAAAAGAUGCGUUCCUGUUCCAGGACCUCCAGGUGCACAUAAGGUUUAUUUGCUGCUGUCUCCAUAUGAAAACCGGAUGUUUUCCUUGCCAAAGUGCUGCCCCUCGCUUUAGAGGAGAGUAAGCUAACAGGCUAUUGAGCUCCUCUGAGACAGACAGACUCUUCCUGAAGCUCUUCCUGACAUCUCAGCUCCUGCCGCAGCUGCUGCUGAUAGCUGUCACCACCUGAGGUCUCACUGAAACCUGAGUUCUUUAUCCCACACACGUACAAUUAAAUUAAGCCAGCAUGGUUCCCCAGAGAAUGCAUGGACCAGAAGGGGGCAAAUAAGACAGGAAAGAGGAGAUGGUGAACUAGUUCUUUCUUCCAUUUGUACUUUCAACAAGAUGAAUGAUGCUUUUGAGAGGAUCUGCAGAUGGCUGCCAUUUAUCAAGACAGAUGAACUCAUUUGCAGGAAGAGGAAAGGCAGAGAUACAAAGAUUGACAUUUCUACUGUGUGGUUUGAAGCUAAAAUGUAAAGCCCGGGGUCCCUCCUGUCCGUGGAAUGCUCAACCGCUAAGAAAGAUGGACAAACAUGUUGGUGAAAUGCUCACUGAAAUCGUGCAUCUUACAGCAAGAGAUGGGCAAGAGCUGAGCGAUUUAGAUCUGGAGGUAGGUUUGAAGACUCCAAAAAUCAACGUUCUCAGCAGAGCUGAGCUUAAGUUUGAGCUCUCUGGGAAAAUAUAGUUCAACUGUAAUCACUCCACUUAUGUGGGCAAUGGGAAAUGGUUCUGGUGUCAGAUCGAUCCUAGCAAAACCAGAUUUUGCUUUUAUUUUAGUCCUCUGAAAGGGAAUUUUUAACCCUGCUCAACUGCAGCCUGGUGCUGCAGUUUUAAGUCUUUUCCGAGUACAUCUGUCCAGUGCUGCAUGGACUCCUGAGCAAAAAUGAAAUACAUUGCUUCUGAUGAAAUACAUUAUCACACCAGUAAAUGCUUAAGGUGGAAUAUGUAUGUGGCUGACUGACUAAUGGACAACUGUAAGUCGUUUCCAUCAACAUAUCUUUACAACCAUAAGAACAUCUUCUGCUUUUUCGAAGAUAUUUUAGGACUAUGAUGGAAAUUGAAGGUGUAAG
Molecule: long non-coding RNA, 1639 nt
Filed under: Numida meleagris (helmeted guineafowl)
Lineage: Eukaryota; Metazoa; Chordata; Aves; Galliformes; Numididae
Description: lncRNA (ENSNMEG00000018981.1)
Source: RNAcentral